RNAcentral lists this transfer RNA (70 nucleotides) under Myiodactylus osmyloides. RNAcentral describes it as "tRNA-Leu". Lineage: Eukaryota; Metazoa; Arthropoda; Insecta; Neuroptera; Nymphidae. The record is from RNAcentral.
AUUACUUUGGCAGAAAAAUGUAUUGAAUUUAGAAUUCAAAAAUAUAAUUAUUUAUUAAUUAUAAGUAAUA